CCCCGUAGCCAAAAAAGUCACAAGUAUAAAUAUACAUUCUACUAAUGUUAUUUUCCUGAUGAUGAUCGUAGGACUCAUAGGUAGACUUAGGCUUAAUUAUUGAUCAUAUAUUAAUGCAUGACUUGUUCCUUGCAAUUGAGACAAUAUUUUGACAAGGUCAUAGAAAGACCAAAGCACUUAGGACGUGUGCAUAGCUAGUAAUGGUAGGGCUUAAGGACUCUCAGAUCAUUUUUGUCUACCACCAUCGAAAUUUUUUGGCUCUUAAUUAUAAUUAGAAUGCCUUGCAAAAAAAAAUGGAGAUGGAGGUUGGAGAAAAAUUUAAUCAAAUUUCCAAUUCGUAUACAAGAGUUUGAUGAGAAGUAAGAGUUUUUUACUCAUUCUCAUUAGGAAAUUGAACACAUCUUUCUUGAGGUUGUUUGAGUAGGCAUGAAAGAGUAAUGUGUUGUUCCAUAUUGUUGAGUACAAACAAAGUCUCACAUCGAAUAAAAUGAAAGAUAGAUUGGAAUGUAUAGUACUGAUAUCCCAUUGUAAAUUUUCUUAUCUAAUAUAUUGAUGGUUGUGGAAGAACUUCCAUGUGGAAGAUGCCACGUUGGGGAAGACUGAUCACUUCAUUAGUUAGGAGCAAUGAACAGAGCAGGCAAAGAACAAGGUUAAAGAACAAGAGCUCUUGCUGGAUAUCACCGCUGGACUCUCUAAAAGCAUCUUUUGUGAAUGAGCUACCACUUAAACAGAAGAAGCAAAGAUGAGGUUUUUUUUAUGUGAGAUUCAGCCAAAUAUGGCAUUCUUAUAUAGUGGUUUCAAGUCUUUUAGGUGGUCUGGUGGAUUGGCAAUGGAGAAAAGUGGAGA
Molecule: long non-coding RNA, 846 nt
Filed under: Vigna radiata
Lineage: Eukaryota; Viridiplantae; Streptophyta; Magnoliopsida; Fabales; Fabaceae
Description: long non-coding RNA (VRAD_LNC007546)
Source: RNAcentral